UACGUAGGGUGCAAGCGUUAAUCGGAAUUACUGGGCGUAAAGCGUGCGCAGGCGGCUUUGCAAGACAGAUGUGAAAUCCCCGGGCUUAACCUGGGAACUGCAUUUGUGACUGCAUGGCUGGAGUGCGGCAGAGGGGAUGGAAUUCCGCGUGUAGCGGUGAAAUGCGCAGAUAUCAGGAAGAACACCCGUGGCGAAGGCGGCUCUCUGGGACGGUACUGACGCUGAGACGCGAAAGCGUGGGGAGCGAACAGG
This 252-nucleotide ribosomal RNA is filed under the name uncultured bacterium. RNAcentral's name for it is "partial 16S ribosomal RNA". It matches the Rfam family "Bacterial small subunit ribosomal RNA", at positions 524 to 776 of the family's 1533-position model. The record is from RNAcentral.